This 582-nucleotide long non-coding RNA is filed under the name Fukomys damarensis (Damara mole-rat). RNAcentral describes it as "lncRNA (ENSFDAG00000029282.1)". Lineage: Eukaryota; Metazoa; Chordata; Mammalia; Rodentia; Bathyergidae. The record is from RNAcentral.
GUCAGGAUCCUGAGGUAAAAGAAGCAGGACUAGGACAGGAUUGAUGUGGGAGCAAGUUUAGACAAGCUGGGGCUCUGUUGGACUCUGCAGCCACUUUUAGGAGAACAUAUGGACAGCUGUCCUAAAGAGCCAGAGCUUAAGUGGACCCCAAGGGUCAUACAUGAAGCAUUAGGCCCCAAGCAGAAUUAAGAAAUGAGGUCAGAAACCAGAGACUCAAAACUUAGAUGGGUCAAAGAUCACUUCAAAAGCAAAGGGAUGCUCUUUCCACAGCACCUGUAGGAUCUGGGAUCCACAAACUGGUCUGGGCACUUGAGAGAGCUGUAGGAGGUUGGCCCACAUGACUGUCAGGAGAGGAGAAGAAGAAAACAGAACUCAUGUGACAACAGCUUCACGAGUCAGGAUGGAACUCAGGUCACCUGUCUCCAUAUUCCUGAGUCUUCCAUCUCCACAGUCCUCAGAAAUCAAGUCACCUUUCCCUCUGCCACUUUCAGAAGAGGGCACUGUACCCCAGAGGUAGGGAGGAGGCUCCUUCCCAAAGAUCACAGAGUGACUCCGUGACUGAGCUGGGAAGAAUCCCCAGAC